Molecule: ribosomal RNA, 497 nt
Filed under: uncultured bacterium
Lineage: Bacteria
Description: partial 16S ribosomal RNA
Rfam family: Bacterial small subunit ribosomal RNA
Source: RNAcentral
GAUGAACGCUGGCGGCGUGCCUAAUACAUGCAAGUCGAGCGAACGGACGAGAAGCUUGCUUCUCUGAUGUUAGCGGCGGACGGGUGAGUAACACGUGGAUAACCUACCUAUAAGACUGGGAUAACUUCGGGAAACCGGAGCUAAUACCGGAUAAUAUUUUGAACCGCAUGGUUCAAAAGUGAAAGACGGUCUUGCUGUCACUUAUAGAUGGAUCCGCGCUGCAUUAGCUAGUUGGUAAGGUAACGGCUUACCAAGGCAACGAUGCAUAGCCGACCUGAGAGGGUGAUCGGCCACACUGGAACUGAGACACGGUCCAGACUCCUACGGGAGGCAGCAGUAGGGAAUCUUCCGAAAUGGGCGAAAGCCUGACGGAGCGACGCCGCGUGAGUGAUGAAGGUCUUCGGAUCGUAAAACUCUGUUAUUAGGGAAGAACAUAUGUGUAAGUAACUGUGCACAUCUUGACGGUACCUAAUCAGAAAGCCACGGCUAACUACGUG